This 378-nucleotide unclassified non-coding RNA is filed under the name uncultured Actinomycetes bacterium. RNAcentral describes it as "uncultured actinobacterium contains 16S-23S intergenic spacer region". Lineage: Bacteria; Bacillati; Actinomycetota; Actinomycetes. The record is from RNAcentral.
UCCGAGUUGACCCCGGCAGUCUCCUGCGAGUCCCCGCCAUUACGCGCUGGCAACACAGGACAAGGGUUGCGCUCGUUGCGGGACUUAACCCAACAUCUCACGACACGAGCUGACGACAGCCAUGCACCACCUGUCACCCACCCCCGAAAGGCACCCCGUCUCCGAGGCUGUAAGGGCGAUGUCAAACCUUGGUAAGGUUCUUCGCGUUGCGUCGAAUUAAGCAACAUGCUCCGCCGCUUGUGUGGGCCCCCGUCAAUUCCUUUGAGUUUUAGCCUUGCGGCCGUAGUCCCCAGGCGGGGUGCUUAACGCGUUAGCUCCGGCACGGAAGUCGUGAACUGACCCCCACACCUAGCACCCAUCGUUUACGGCAUGGACUAC